GUCCUUGCCGUAAACGAUGUAUACUUGAUGUAAUUAGGCUCAACCCUGAUUGUGUCGAAGCUAACGCGAUAAGUAUACCGCCUGAGGAGUACGCUCGCAAGGGUGAAACUCAAAAGAAUUGACGGGGGCCCCGCACAAGCAGUGGAGCAUGUGGUUUAAUUCGAUGCAACGCGAAGAACCUUACCCAGGCUCGAAAUAUAGUAGACGAUACCAGAGAUGGUAUUUUCCGUAAGGACUGCUGUAUAGGUGCUGCAUGGCUGUCGU
This 264-nucleotide ribosomal RNA is filed under the name uncultured bacterium. Its description in RNAcentral is "partial 16S ribosomal RNA". It matches the Rfam family "Bacterial small subunit ribosomal RNA", at positions 793 to 1055 of the family's 1533-position model. The record is from RNAcentral.